AUCAUUAAGUUGGGCACUCUAGAGAGACUGCCAGGGAUAACCUGGAGGAAGGUGGGGAUGACGUCAAAUCAUCAUGCCCCUUAUGCUUAGGGCUACACACGUGCUACAAUGGGUAGUACAGAGGGUUGCAAAGCCGUAAGGUGGAGCUAAUCCCUUAAAGCUACUCUCAGUUCGGAUUGUAGGCUGAAACUCGCCUACAUGAAGCUGGAGUUACUAGUAAUCG
RNAcentral lists this ribosomal RNA (223 nucleotides) under Clostridioides difficile. Its description in RNAcentral is "partial 16S ribosomal RNA". It matches the Rfam family "Bacterial small subunit ribosomal RNA", at positions 1120 to 1344 of the family's 1533-position model. Lineage: Bacteria; Bacillati; Bacillota; Clostridia; Peptostreptococcales; Peptostreptococcaceae. The record is from RNAcentral.